AACGAACGCUGGUGGCAGGCUUAACACAUGCAAGUCGAACGCCCCGCAAGGGGAGUGGCAGACGGGUGAGUAACGCGUGGGAACGUACCUUUCAGUUCGGAAUAACUCAGGGAAACUUGUGCUAAUACCGGAUACGCCCGUAAGGGGAAAGAUUUAUCGCUGAAAGAUCGGCCCGCGUUGGAUUAGCUAGUUGGUGGGGUAAUGGCCUACCAAGGCGACGAUCCAUAGCUGGUCUGAGAGGAUGAUCAGCCACACUGGGACUGAGACACGGCCCAGACUCCUACGGGAGGCAGCAGUGGGGUAUAUUGGACAAUGGGCGAAAGCCUGAUCCAGCCAUGCCGCGUGAGUGAUGAAGGCCCUAGGGUUGUAAAGCUCUUUCACCGAUGAAGAUAAUGACGGUAGUCGGAGAAGAAGCCCCGGCUAACUUCGUGCCAGCCGCCGCCGUAA
RNAcentral lists this ribosomal RNA (447 nucleotides) under uncultured bacterium. RNAcentral describes it as "partial 16S ribosomal RNA". It matches the Rfam family "Bacterial small subunit ribosomal RNA", at positions 29 to 523 of the family's 1533-position model. The record is from RNAcentral.